RNAcentral lists this ribosomal RNA (174 nucleotides) under uncultured Allobosea sp. RNAcentral's name for it is "uncultured Bosea sp. partial 16S ribosomal RNA". It matches the Rfam family "Bacterial small subunit ribosomal RNA", at positions 334 to 526 of the family's 1533-position model. Lineage: Bacteria; Pseudomonadati; Pseudomonadota; Alphaproteobacteria; Hyphomicrobiales; Alloboseaceae. The record is from RNAcentral.
UACUCCUACGCGAGGCAGCGGUGGGAAUAUUGGACAAUGGGCGCAAGCCUGAUCCAGCCAUGCCGCGUGAGUGAUGAAGGCCUUAGGGUUGUAAAGCUCUUUUGUCCGGGAAGAUAAUGACUGUACCGGAAGAAUAAGCCCCGGCUAACUUCGUGCCAGCAGCCGCGGUAAUAC